This 465-nucleotide ribosomal RNA is filed under the name uncultured bacterium. RNAcentral describes it as "partial 16S ribosomal RNA". It matches the Rfam family "Bacterial small subunit ribosomal RNA", at positions 338 to 795 of the family's 1533-position model. The record is from RNAcentral.
CCUACGGGGGGCAGCAGUGGGGAAUCUUGCGCAAUGGGCGAAAGCCUGACGCAGCGACGCCGCGUGAGGGAUGAAGGUCUUCGGAUCGUAAACCUCUGUCAGCAGGGAAGAACGGUCACUGUGCUAAUCAGCAGUGAAUUGACGGUACCUGCAAAGGAAGCACCGGCUAACUCCGUGCCAGCAGCCGCGGUAAUACGGAGGGUGCGAGCGUUAAUCGGAAUUACUGGGCGUAAAGCGAGCGUAGGCGGUAUGUCAAGUCAAGGGUGAAAUCCCCGCGCUCAACGUGGGAAGUGCCUUUGAAACUGGGGAACUUGAGUGCGUGAGGGGAUAGUGGAAUUCCAGGUGUAGCGGUGAAAUGCGUAGAUAUCUGGAGGAACAUCAGUGGCGAAGGCGACUCUCUGGCACAUAACUGACGCUGAGGAGCGAAAGCGUGGGUAGCAAACAGGAUUAGAUACUCGAGUAGUC